GAUUGAGUCGGCACGACUUGUGGGUGACUACGAACUUGGCCCGAUAAUUUUUUUUUUGUUGGCCCACUAUUCUUNGGGGCUCUUGUCUCUUAGAGCGGAGGAGACCGUGUGAGGCUGGUUUCACAGAGCAGCGUCCACCUUCCUCUCUUGACGGUGGAAGGAUAACGGGCCGGUGCCUUCCGAGCCCACUAUGACCCAUUAAGCCGACUCCAUC
This 214-nucleotide non-coding RNA is filed under the name Arabidopsis halleri subsp. gemmifera. Lineage: Eukaryota; Viridiplantae; Streptophyta; Magnoliopsida; Brassicales; Brassicaceae. The record is from RNAcentral.